ACAAACACUGCAAACUUGCUGCCCCUGCAGAAACGCACAGUUUCGGGCGCCAGAAACCAUAUUCUAGGCAUCCUAAACCUUCAGGCUGCACAAAUAUUCCUCAUCGAUUCCUCCGCCUGCGUUGUGCUGCGCCCGAAACCUGGUCCGGCGGAUCUCACCUACCACCAACCACGUGUCAACUCAAACGAUAUUCACGAGGUGAACUUUCGGACCCACAACCGGGCGCCCGAAACCAGGAUCCGAAUUGGCUUCCAGUUCAGUUC
Molecule: long non-coding RNA, 263 nt
Filed under: Ananas comosus (pineapple)
Lineage: Eukaryota; Viridiplantae; Streptophyta; Magnoliopsida; Poales; Bromeliaceae
Description: long non-coding RNA (ACOM_LNC005761)
Source: RNAcentral